GUGUUUGGUUCAGCAGCGCAUAUGCUAAAAUUAAACUGAUACAGAGAUCAGCGGGGCCCCUGUGCAUGGAUGACAUACAAAUUCAUAAAAGGUUCCAUAUUUUA
Arvicanthis niloticus (Nile rat) is the source of this 104-nucleotide small nuclear RNA. Lineage: Eukaryota; Metazoa; Chordata; Mammalia; Rodentia; Muridae. The record is from RefSeq and is a predicted model, not a curated record.